Molecule: ribosomal RNA, 478 nt
Filed under: uncultured bacterium
Lineage: Bacteria
Description: partial 16S ribosomal RNA
Rfam family: Bacterial small subunit ribosomal RNA
Source: RNAcentral
GAUGAACGCUGGCGGCGUGCCUAACACAUGCAAGUCGAACGGAGUCCAGCCUUUAAGACCUUCGGGUCAAAGAGGGGAAGACUGAGUGGCGGACGGGUGAGUAACACGUGGGCAACCCGGCUCAUAGAGGGGGAUAACAGAGAGAAAUUUCUGCUAAUACCGCAUAAGCACACACUGCCGCAUGGCAGAGGGUGAAAAGAGAAUCGCUAUGAGAUGGACCCGCGUCUGAUUAGCCAGUUGGCAGGGUAAGAGCCUACCAAAGCGACGAUCAGUAGCCGAUCUGAGAGGAUGAACGGCCACAUUGGGACUGAGACACGGCCCAAACUCCUACGGGAGGCAGCAGUGGGGGAUAUUGCACAAUGGGGGGAACCCUGAUGCAGCGACGCCGCGUGAGUGAAGAAGUAUUUCGGUAUGUAAAGCUCUAUCAGCAGGGAAGAUAAUGACAGUACCUGAAUAAGAAGCCCCGGCUAACUACGUG